This is a long non-coding RNA of Cucumis sativus (cucumber), 1154 nucleotides long. RefSeq lists it as uncharacterized. NCBI's taxonomy places the organism in Eukaryota, Viridiplantae, Streptophyta, Magnoliopsida, Cucurbitales, Cucurbitaceae. The record is from RefSeq and is a predicted model, not a curated record. The transcript is spliced from 3 exons.
AAAAUUUCUUUAUCCUCUCUCCCCUCUCUCCAUAUUUUUCUUCUUCUUCUCUUUCCCGUACCCUAACCCAGCCGACCAUCAUCUUCUCCCCUUCCCUUGCCGUUCAGAUCCAUGGCCGCCGCCCACCCUUCAACCUCACGCCAACUUCUUCUCCUCCUCCAUCAGUUUCGAUUUAUCGCGCCGCCGAAGUCUUGCGUUGUUCGGGUUGCACAAGCCGAUCACCGGCCGUCAAGCUUGCAAGCGCUGCGUGACUCUCCAUCGAUCAAUCAUCCCGAACCGUAGCCGUUCUGCUAAGGCCGUCGUCGCGCACAUCUCUGUGUAGCCGACGACUACCCGAACCACGUUCGCCGCGCGUCGGGAGACCACUCCAAGCCGUGCAGCCUCCAUCUUUUCGUCUGACCGAGCCGUCCAACUUCUCCCAUCACUCAGUUACGUUUUGCACAUUGUUGCCCAACUCGGUUCGUAGACCUUUGCCCUUUUACUCUACGACUUGCAGUGAUUUUUCGGUUGUAAUUAAUUGUCGUGGGUUAUGGAUCUGUGAUGUCUCUUUGGGAAUGCAAUGUUGAAUUAAUCGAUUGGUUUAUAUGGGUUUUUUGGAGGUGUCGUUGUGGAUAGUGUUAGAGUUCUUGGAGUUUUGACGGGUUGGUUGAAGUUUAACUAUCCACUUUUUGGGAUUUGAUUGUUGGAUUUAGUUUGAUUGAGGAAUUUGCAUAAAAAUCGAGGCAAAUGUAACAAAGGUGGCAAACCGACAAGGGGCAGGAAGGAAGCGUGAACAUUUUAAAUUCGCUUCUACACUACUAUAAAAACAGGCUCUUUUGACGUUUUUAAACGGUCAAAAAUCACUAUUCUUGACGGUUUUAAAAUCGUCGUUGAAGCCAAAGUUCUUGACGGUUGAUAGAAACGUCAAGAAUAUUGAACGUUGACGUUUUAUAAACGUCAAAUAUACAAAUGUUCAUGACAGUUAAAAACUGUCAAGAGUAUGAAUGUUUGUGUCAGUUUAAAACCGUCAAGAGUAUAAGUGUUCAUGACAUUUAAUAACCGUAAAAAAAUUGAUUGUUUAUGACAUUAAAAACCGUUAAGGAUGCACUUGUUUAUGACAUUUUAAAACCGUCAAGUAUGUUAUGAGUUUUUUUAUAAAAAAAAUUGUAAUUCAA